AACCAGCGAAAAUUCUGUGGUACAUCAGCUGUACCGGUGCAGCCAGUAAUCCAAAGGCCAGUAUUGCAUUUUAAAAAUGAAGGGCUAAGAUUGAAUGACCGGAAGACUUGUUGUGCCUUUUGUUAUUAAAUAUCACGUGACAUACACGUGACUGAGAAAACAAGUAAAAAGCUUCAACGAAAGCGUCCUCAUCUGUGUCCCCAAAUCAGAAUCUGGGAGUCUCACCUCUGCCGACGCCGAGAUGCAACAGUCAUCGGACAUCGCCGAUUCCGGAAUCACCAUCCACGCAAGGUUUGCCUGCUUAGUUGUCUUCUUUUUCCAUCGGUUCAAUUCAGAAGAUUACUCGGUUUUUGUCUUUGAAGAAUCUUUAUCAAGAAGCUUGGAAGCAAUUGGGUUUUGGGGUUGAUACAUCUGGCAGAUCACCACAUGCUCUCCAUUUGUUUGCUGAAAUGUCACACUCAUGUUGGGUAUGCAAUGGCGGUACUGCACUUCUUGAUUUUGAUCUUGGCUACCAUAUGGGCAUUCGAGACGAUGGUGGUGGUGAGUUUCUCACGAGUUGCUUCAUUGGAGGGUUGAUGACAGAGAGCUUCGCCAGGACUUGUACUUGCUUCGUUUUGUUCCUGUUCAAGAAGCCUCUACGCCAAAUCUAAAAUUGCUCAAGGUUAUACAGGGCUUUAUCAAGAAUUGUUCAGUUGUCAUUUUCCUUGAUUCUGGUAGUUCACGAAAUUUCAUUGGUUUGGCACUAUUCAAAUGGUUAGGGUCCAGGAUUAUGAUUGUGUCCACACUGUUUUUACUCUUCCGUUGGGUAAUUGCAUUCUUGAUUUUGAUGUUGGCUACCUUCUGGGCAUACGUGGCCAAGGUGGUGGAUUUGAAGUUGAUAAUGGGCAUACUGGAAAAGAAGAAAAUUUCUGCAAGGUUUAUGGCUAUGAGCUUGAGUCAUUGAGAGCUUUACUUCUUUCUCCCAGGGCUCAUUCCAAAGGACUUGGAGCCAUUGAUGUGUUAGUGAGCUUUCCAAUAAUUGGGGAGUUUUAUGUGGGUGGGCUGCCAAUCCAGCAGCAGUGAGACCAUGAGUAUUGUUUGGUUCAGCAUCUCUGUAAUUGCAUGCUCUGAUGGUGGCCUUGUUCAAGCCAACCAAUUGAUAUAUUGCUACAACAAUAUGAGUUCAAUGGCACACAUCCAUCACUGAAAUGGCAGCAACUUGUUGGUUCGAAUUCCAGAAUUUCAUCCUUGAGGACAAGGAUUGUUUUUGUGGGGAGGGUAGAUAGGAAUCUCUAUAUAAGCUGGAACUAGGUUAGUUGUUAACCAUUAGUUAGGCUAUGCUUAGUUGACAGUUGGUUAGGUUAACUCUAUAUUAACUAAGUGAGUCUGUAUUUGAGGGAGUUAGUUGAGAAAUUGUAUCUUUUUCUUUGUGAAAGAAAUAAUAUCAUUGCUCUUGAGAUAUUGAGUUAAAGUAGAAGGCAGGUACUAUCAAUUUAUACAAGAACUGCUAAAACUCUAAACCUAAGAUCGAAGUGGAGGAUAACGCAGAGGCCAAUGCACAAUGAUGGCUUCCUGCACACACUAGGCUUCACUUUCUCACCUGCUUCCCGUAGGGUGCAACUUGAGAGUGGAAAAUUCAAUGUUUUCCAACUCCUCCUUUAGGCCACAGGUAACUUCCGGAAUGCAAAAAAUGGCAGCAGUUGGCGAAUGUAGUGCCGAAGGAAAUUGGUACGAAAGGGAAAACUCCAAUUGACUGCUUGCGUAAUCUUUCUUGUUAAUAGUGUGAAUUAUAUGACAAAACAAAGAAAUUUAAUUUGGGAACCCAAUUUUAGAGUUUUCACAUGUCUAAAUUGAAAUGUUUUUGUAAGUGAAAGCUCAUCAUGAAAAAGGUAUAGAGUUAUGUAAGUUAUCGUAAACUCAUGUUUUCAUACUCUCUCUCUCCCUAAACCCAGGUUUUGGAUGCACAGUUCUGUUUCUAAUUGAAGCUUAAUAUGCUUUGGAAAUUAGAUUCUUUAAAGUGGGUUUUUCUUCAGGGUAUUCUGAAAGCAAAACCCAACAAUCUCAGCUACAUUUUUUUGAAAGAAUUACCUAAAUUGGUGGUAUGUUUCUGCUAUUGAGUCAAAUUUUGUUUUUGGUUUUCCCUAGUAGGAAGUAGUUUCUAUGACGUGGCUCUUUUGCUAUGCAAUCACCAGGCUUCUGGUUUGUAAUCUUCAGUACUCCAUGAUUUUAAUUAACAUUGCCAGUCAAGAAAUCGUUUUUAGGAAGGUGAAUUCCCAAUGUGGUUUUUUCAAGGGCUUUCAAGAGACCAACUCAAUCACUUGAAAAGAUAAUGGAUGUUAUGAGGGAAGAGCUUCCUAACACAAUGGCUGCUGUUCGUAUAUCCGGGAUAGAGCUCAGUGUCUUGGGUUGCCAUUACCAUUUCAAAGAUUGUAUUGCUAAAUCUGAAGGGGUAUGCUCACUUGGACUUUUCAUGCAUACUUGGUGAGAUUCUCACCUUCUUCUGAGAGCCUAAUAUUUAGGGGCUAACAUUUGUGUACUCUACAAGUUAAAAUUGAGCUAAAUGUAUUACAAAAUAUUUUAGGUAAAGUGUUUUCUUUGCUUCU
This is a long non-coding RNA of Prunus persica (peach), 2582 nucleotides long. RefSeq lists it as uncharacterized. The record is from RefSeq and is a predicted model, not a curated record. Lineage: Eukaryota; Viridiplantae; Streptophyta; Magnoliopsida; Rosales; Rosaceae. The transcript has 4 exons.